RNAcentral lists this ribosomal RNA (809 nucleotides) under uncultured bacterium. Its description in RNAcentral is "bacterial SSU rRNA". It matches the Rfam family "Bacterial small subunit ribosomal RNA", at positions 8 to 832 of the family's 1533-position model. The record is from RNAcentral.
AGAGUUUGAUCAUGGCUCAGGACGAACGCUGGCGGCGUGCCUAACACAUGCAAGUCGAGCGAAUGAAGUUCCUUCGGGAACGGAUUUAGCGGCGGACGGGUGAGUAACACGUGGGCAACCUGCCUCAUAGAGGGGAAUAGCCUUCCGAAAGGGAGAUUAAUACCGCAUAAGAUUGUAGUACCGCAUGGUACAGCAAUUAAAGGAGCAAUCCGCUAUGAGAUGGGCCCGCGGCGCAUUAGCUAGUUGGUGAGGUAACGGCUCACCAAGGCGACGAUGCGUAGCCGACCUGAGAGGGUGAUCGGCCACAUUGGGACUGAGACACGGCCCAGACUCCUACGGGAGGCAGCAGUGGGGAAUAUUGCACAAUGGGGGAAACCCUGAUGCAGCAACGCCGCGUGAGUGAUGACGGCCUUCGGGUUGUAAAGCUCUGUCUUCAGGGACGAUAAUGACGGUACCUGAGGAGGAAGCCACGGCUAACUACGUGCCAGCAGCCGCGGUAAUACGUAGGUGGCGAGCGUUGUCCGGAUUUACUGGGCGUAAAGGGAGCGUAGGCGGAUUUUUAAGUGAGAUGUGAAAUACUCGGGCUUAACCUGAGUGCUGCAUUUCAAACUGGAAGUCUAGAGUGCAGGAGAGGAGAAGGGAAUUCCUAGUGUAGCGGUGAAAUGCGUAGAGAUUAGGAAGAACACCAGUGGCGAAGGCGCUUCUCUGGACUGUAACUGACGCUGAGGCUCGAAAGCGUGGGGAGCAAACAGGAUUAGAUACCCUAGUAGUCCACGCCGUAAACGAUGAAUACUAGGUGUAGGGGUUGU